CAUGGGAUCAGCUGUGUGCUCCCAGCUUUCCCAGGGCAUUCCCGUGGGAAAUGUGUGUGUUCCCGGCAUUCCCAUGGGAUCAGCUGUGUGCUCCCGGCUUUCCCAGAGCAUUCCCAUGGAAUUGGCUUUGUGUACUCCAUGGGAUCUGCUGUGCGUAUUCCGGGCACUCCCAUGGGAUCCACUGUGUGUUCCCGGCAUUUCUGCAGCUUUCCAUGGGAUCGGCUUUGUGUUCCCAGCAUUCCCAUGGGAUCAGCCGUGUGUGUUCCCAGAGCAUUCCCAUGGGAUCAGCUGCGUGUUCCCCGCUUUCCCAGAGCAUUCCCAUGGGAUUGGCUGUGUGUUCCCGGCAUUUCUGCAGCUUUCCAUGGGAUCUGCUGUGUGUUCCCGGCUUUCCCAGAGCAUUCCCAUGGGAUCUGCUCUGUGUGUUCCCGGCAUUUCUGCAGCUUUCCAUGGGAUCAGCUGCGUGUUCCCAUCUUUCCCAGAGCAUUCCCGUGGGAAAUGUGUGUGUCCCGGCAUUCCCAUGGGAUCAGCUGCGUGUUCCUGGCUUUCCCAGAGCAUUCCCAUGGAAUUGGCUUUGUGUAUUCCAUGGGAUCUGCUGUGCAUAUUCCAGGCACUCCCAUGGGAACCAUUGUGUGUUUUUGGCAUUCCCAGAGCAUUCCCAUGAGAUCGGCUCUGUGUGUUCCCAGCAUUUCUGCAGCUUUCCAUGGAAUUGUCUGCAUGUUCCUGGCAUUCCCAGAGCAUUCCCGUGGCGUUGGCUUUGUGUGUUCCCAGCAUUUCCAUGGGAUCUGCUGUGCGUAUUCCCAGCUUUCCGUGGAAUUGUCUGCGUGUUCCUGGCAUUCCCAGAGCAUUCCUCUCGGAUCGGCCGUGUGUGCUCCCGGCUUUCCCAGGGCAUUCCCGUGGGGAAUGUGUGUGUUCCGGCGUUCCCAUGGGAUCUGCUGCGUGUUCCUGGCAUUCCCAGAGCACUCUUGUGGGAAAUGUGUGUGUGCCGGCAUUCCCAUGGGAUCCGCUGUGUGUUCCUGGCUUUCCCAGAGCAUUCCCAUGGGAUCUGCUGCGUGUUCCUGGCAUUCCCAGGGCAUUCCUGUGGGAUCGGCUCUGUGUGUUCCCGGCAUUUCUGCAGCUUUCCAUGGGAUCGGGUUUGUGUUCCCAGCAUUCCCAUGGGAUCAGCCGUGUGUGUUCCCAGAGCAUUCCCAUGGGAUCCACUGCGUGUUCCCAGAGCAUUCCCAUGGGAUCCACUGCGUGUUCCCGGCAUUUCUGCAGCUUUCCAUGGGAUCUGCUGUGUGUUCCUGGCUUUCCCAGAGCGUUCCCAUGGGAAAUGUGUGUGUUCCCGGCAUUCCCAUGGGAUCUGCUGCGUGUUCCUGGCUUUCCCAGAGCAUUCCCGUGGGAUUGGCUGUGUGUUCCCAGCAUUCCCAUGGGAUCAGCUGCGUGCUCCCGGCAUUUCCAGAGAAUUCCCAUGGGAUCCACUGUGUGUCCCCGGCAUUUCUGCAGCUUUCCAUGGGAUCGGGUUUGUGUUCCCAGCAUUCCCAUGGGAUCAGCCCUGUGUGUUCCCAGAGCAUUCCCAUAGGAUCAGCUGUGUGUAUUCCCAGCUUUCCUGUGGGAUCAGCUGUGGUUCCCGGCAUUCCCAUGGGAUCGGCUCUGUGUGUUCCCGGCAUUUCUGCAGCUUUCCAUGGGAUCCGCUGUGUGUUCCCUGCAUUCCCAGAGCAUUCCCAUGGGAAAUGUGUGUGUGCCGGCAUUCCCAUGGGGUCAGCUGUGUGUCCCCCGCAUUCCCAGAGCAUUCCCAUGGGAUCGGCUCUGUGUGUCCUGCCGUUCCCAUGGGAUCAGCUAUGUGUGUUCCCAGCAUUCCCAGAGCAUUGCCAUGGGAUCCACUGCGUGUUCCCAGCAUUUCUGCAGCUUUCCAUGGGAUCGGCUGUGGUUCCCAGCAUUCCCAUGGGAUCAGCUCUGUGUCUUCCUGGCAUUUCUGCAGAUUUCCAUGGGAUCAGCUGUGUGUUCCCGGCACUCCCAUGGGAUCAACUAUGUGUUUCUGGUAUUCCCAGAGUGUUCCCAUGGGAUCAGCUCUGUGUGUUCCUGGCAUUCCCAUGGGAUCGGCUGUGGUUCCCAGCACUCCCAGAGCAUUCCCGUGGGAUCAGCUGUGUGCAUUCCCAGCUUUCCCGUGGGAUCAGCUGUGGUUCCCAGCAUUCUCAUGGGAUCGGCUCUGUGCCUUCCUGGCAUUUCUGCAGCUUUCCAUGGGAUCCGCUGUGGUUCCUUGCAUUCCCAGAGCAUUCCCAUGGGAAAUGUGUGUGUGCUGGCAUUCCCAUGGGAUCAGCUGCGUGUUUCCGGCAUUCCCAGAGCAUUCCCAUGGGAUUGGCUGUGUGUUCCCGGCAUUUCUGCAGCUUUCCAUGGAAUUGUCUGCAUGUUCCUGGCAUUCCCAGAGCAUUCCCGUGGGAAAUGUGUGUUUGCCGGCAUUCCCAUGGGAUCAGCUGUGUGUUCCCGGCUUUCCCAGAGCAUUCCCGUGGGAUCGGCUCUGUGUGUUCCUGGCAUUUCUGCAGCUUUCCAUGGAAUUGUCUGCAUGUUCCUGGCAUUCCCAGAGC
This 2561-nucleotide long non-coding RNA is filed under the name Zonotrichia albicollis (white-throated sparrow). RNAcentral's name for it is "lncRNA (ENSZALG00000001334.1)". Lineage: Eukaryota; Metazoa; Chordata; Aves; Passeriformes; Passerellidae. The record is from RNAcentral.